This 1602-nucleotide unclassified non-coding RNA is filed under the name Penaeus japonicus. RNAcentral's name for it is "transcription factor MafB-like, transcript variant X4". The record is from RNAcentral. Lineage: Eukaryota; Metazoa; Arthropoda; Malacostraca; Decapoda; Penaeidae.
GUCGCCCGUGGAUCGACGGCGGCGGCCGAGUGUUCGCAUCGAUCACGUCUUCCUCCGCCGGCGUUGGAAAACCCUCGAGCCGUCCGUGGCGCGCUGCCGAACCCUGCCCACACUCUUUUACCUCGCUAUUAGCCUUGUCGCUGUGCCCUUCGCAGGCCCCGAAGUGUACCCCAGCCUCACCAACGCACCCGUAGGCUUCCAGGUGACGACGAGACACGAGAGGAAGCGCUUGUUAGGGGAUCGAUGUGCGGUGGUUGGGCCGUUGAAUCGUACGUCUGGCACGGGUCCCGCGAAUGCACCCGGCUGCGCUCUGCUGCCAUCUGGCGCCCAAACCCGCGCUAACCAACCUGAUUAAUCACUUUUACAUGCUGUUUUCUAUCCAUUUUCGGUCAACCAUGAGUAUCUACUCGACGCGGAAUGUCAGCCGAAAAUCAGAGUGCCUCUCCAGCCCACAAGAAAAGAGCCACGAGCAAUAGGAAGGGAGAAAUAAGGGAUAAAAAAGGCUGAUGUUGUGUGGCUGAGCGCCCCCGCCACACUCCCUUGUUCAGCGCCGCACACACUCGAGUACCGCGGCUUGGAGGACGCUCGGUGGCUUCCCGCACGCUUUUCUCGCCCAAAUUCAAGGGUCCAGUGCCGAAAAUGUGCUUAAAAUGACGCGCAGGACCUGGUUCAAAGUGCAGUGUGUGAUGUGAGUGCAAAAUAACGGCGGGGAAGUGAAAAUCUAAAGGUGAAUUUGAGGUGAUAGUUGUAAACUGGCUGGCGGUGAGAUCGGUUAGUCGCGCCUGGUGACUGUCGCGCACUUUUUGUCAUGGAACUCGCAAAUCCGCGUGCCAGCCUCGCUCUAAGGAACUCCUCGACCCGACAGUGCUCUUAAGGUGUUUCUCUCGUCCUCCUUGGUGAGGCCUGUGUCGGCGGUGGUGCUCCGAGGAACCAUAGAAAAGGCGCAAGUCGUCGAGGUCUCGGCGGAGGAGGUGGCGACUCGGCUCGACCACUCUCGCCAGGCAGAGGUUCCUCUUGGUCGAUACCGGCGGCCGCUUCUUCCCUUCCACACACCCACCUAUUUUAGCCAGCACGCCCUCGCCCGCACGCCCUCGCCCUCGCCCGCACGCCCACGCCCAUCGCCAACCUCUGCUCUAGGACCUACGCCCAUCGCCGCACGGAUCUGGAGGCCGGCAGAAGCGACACACAGGAGGCGGUGGGGACGGGCCAUGAGGGAAGUGGACGCUUGCCAACCCCUCCUCCUCAGCCGCCGCAGCAGCAGCAGCAGCCUCGCUCGCCGCACCAGCAGCAUCAACAACAACAGCUGCAGCCGGCGGGGAUGAGGGUGUCGCCUGCACCGCCGCUGUCUGCAGGAGCCAACCCGCCUCACCCCCCUCAUUCUCCUCACAUGUCUCCUGCCGUAGAUGUCCGUGGUCGCCUCCUGCACCAUCCCCAACAGCUCGCUUUCCUCCACCACCACCACCACCACUCCAGCUCCGCCCCCACCUCCAACUCCACCUCCGGACCGUCUGCACCACCACCACAACCACCACAACUACUCGAUGUUGCUUCUCAUAUCCCAACUUCCUCAGGUUUCUGAUGUUUCUUUUUUAUUAUUAUUUU